AGACCCGAAACCCGGUGAUCUAGCCAUGGGCAGGUUGAAGGUUGGGUAACACUAACUGGAGGACCGAACCGACUAAUGUUGAAAAAUUAGCGGAUGACCUGUGGCUGGGGGUGAAAGGCCAAUCAAACCGGGAGAUAGCUGGUUCUCCCCGAAAGCUAUUUAGGUAGCGCCUCGUGAAUUCAUCUCCGGGGGUAGAGCACUGUUUCGGCUAGGGGGCCAUCCCGGCUUACCAACCCGAUGCAAACUGCGAAUACCGGAGAAUGUUAUCACGGGAGACACACGGCGGGUGCUAACGUCCGUCGUGAAGAGGGAAACAACCCAGACCGCCAGCUAAGGUCCCAAAGUCAUGGUUAAGUGGGAAACGAUGUGGGAAGGCCCAGACAGCCAGGAUGUUGGCUUAGAAGCAGCCAUCAUUUAAAGAAAGCGUAAUAGCUCACUGGUCGAGUCGGCCUGCGCGGAAGAUGUAACGGGGCUAAACCAUGCACCGAAGCUGCGGCAGCGAACGUAUCACCCAAGACAACUUUACGGAGUUGACGAUUGACGGAGCGAAGCGACGUCAAAGCGUUCAUUAAAGUCGAGUUGGCUUAGGGAUACGUUCGUUGGGUAGGGGAGCGUUCUGUAAGCCUGUGAAGGUGUGUCGUGAGGCAUGCUGGAGGUAUCAGAAGUGCGAAUGCUGACAUAAGUAACGAUAAAGCGGGUGAAAAGCCCGCUCGCCGGAAGACCAAGGGUUCCUGUCCAACGUUAAUCGGGGCAGGGUGAGUCGACCCCUAAGGCGAGGCCGAAAGGCGUAGUCGAUGGGAAACGGGUUAAUAUUCCCGUACUUGGUGUUACUGCGAAGGGGGGACGGAGAAGGCUAUGUUGGCCGGGCGACGGUUGUCCCGGUUUAAGCGUGUAGGUGUGUGUUCCAGGUAAAUCCGGUUCACUUUAACACUGAGGCGUGACGACGAGGCACUACGGUGCUGAAGCAACAAAUGCCCUGCUUCCAGGAAAAGCCUCUAAGCAUCAGGUAACACGAAAUCGUACCCCAAACCGACACAGGUGGUCAGGUAGAGAAUACCAAGGCGCUUGAGAGAACUCGGGUGAAGGAACUAGGCAAAAUGGUGCCGUAACUUCGGGAGAAGGCACGCUGACACGUAGGUGAAGUGAUUUACUCAUGGAGCUGAAGUCAGUCGAAGAUACCAGCUGGCUGCAACUGUUUAUUAAAAACACAGCACUGUGCAAACACGAAAGUGGACGUAUACGGUGUGACGCCUGCCCGGUGCCGGAAGGUUAAUUGAUGGGGUCAGCGCAAGCGAAGCUCCUGAUCGAAGCCCCGGUAAACGGCGGCCGUAACUAUAACGGUCCUAAGGUAGCGAAAUUCCUUGUCGGGUAAGUUCCGACCUGCACGAAUGGCGUAAUGAUGGCCAGGCUGUCUCCACCCGAGACUCAGUGAAAUUGAACUCGCUGUGAAGAUGCAGUGUACCCGCGGCAAGACGGAAAGACCCCGUGAACCUUUACUAUAGCUUGACACUGAACAUUGAGCCUUGAUGUGUAGGAUAGGUGGGAGGCUUUGAAGUGUGGACGCCAGUCUGCAUGGAGCCGACCUUGAAAUACCACCCUUUAAUGUUUGAUGUUCUAACGUGGACCCGUAAUCCGGGUUGCGGACAGUGUCUGGUGGGUAGUUUGACUGGGGCGGUCUCCUCCUAAAGAGUAACGGAGGAGCACGAAGGUUGGCUAAUCCUGGUCGGACAUCAGGAGGUUAGUGCAAUGGCAUAAGCCAGCUUGACUGCGAGCGUGACGGCGCGAGCAGGUGCGAAAGCAGGUCAUAGUGAUCCGGUGGUUCUGAAUGGAAGGGCCAUCGCUCAACGGAUAAAAGGUACUCCGGGGAUAACAGGCUGAUACCGCCCAAGAGUUCAUAUCGACGGCGGUGUUUGGCACCUCGAUGUCGGCUCAUCACAUCCUGGGGCUGAAGUAGGUCCCAAGGGUAUGGCUGUUCGCCAUUUAAAGUGGUACGCGAGCUGGGUUUAGAACGUCGUGAGACAGUUCGGUCCCUAUCUGCCGUGGGCGCUGGAGAACUGAGGGGGGCUGCUCCUAGUACGAGAGGACCGGAGUGGACGCAUCACUGGUGUUCGGGUUGUCAUGCCAAUGGCACUGCCCGGUAGCUAAAUGCGGAAGAGAUAAGUGCUGAAAGCAUCUAAGCACGAAACUUGCCCCGAGAUGAGUUCUCCCUGAGACUUAGAGUCUCCUGAAGGAACGUUGAA
This 2240-nucleotide ribosomal RNA is filed under the name Salmonella enterica subsp. enterica. RNAcentral describes it as "partial 23S ribosomal RNA". It matches the Rfam family "Bacterial large subunit ribosomal RNA", at positions 711 to 2842 of the family's 2925-position model. RNAcentral also lists the same sequence under 1 other name. Lineage: Bacteria; Pseudomonadati; Pseudomonadota; Gammaproteobacteria; Enterobacterales; Enterobacteriaceae. The record is from RNAcentral.